Molecule: non-coding RNA, 19 nt
Filed under: Mus musculus (house mouse)
Lineage: Eukaryota; Metazoa; Chordata; Mammalia; Rodentia; Muridae
Source: RNAcentral
UGACGUGGACCUGUAUACG